Molecule: long non-coding RNA, 1230 nt
Filed under: Homo sapiens (human)
Lineage: Eukaryota; Metazoa; Chordata; Mammalia; Primates; Hominidae
Description: HSALNT0345245
Source: RNAcentral
CAAGCAUCUCACACUGGGGAAGAAGAGUCUGGGUUGGGAAGGAAUCUGAAGUGAAGCCCGUUCCCCAGAAAAAUGUUGCCAACCCUCGCCCUCCCAGCCGCCAGAAUUUGGAUUAAAAGAGACUAAAACGAUGUGACAAUGAAAUGCAAUGUGUGAGCCUGUCUCGAAUUGGAUCCUAGACCAGAAAAAGGACAUUUGAAGGGAAACUGGUGCAAUUUGAAAGGGACCUGCAGAUUAGACAAUAGAGUGCCUCAAGAGGGAAAGUUUCUUAUGGUCAUCUCACAACAAUCGUUGUCCCUCCAAUAGGGAAUUCCGCCAAAGUCUGCUCCGCAAAGCACGAGCAAAUGUUCAGGGUCUGGAGACAGUAGAUUGCUCCAGGAGAAAUAUGAAGGAGCCACCGUGAUUCCAUAUCUGCCUGGGAACUCUUUUAAGCUGCUGAGGUCAGAAGAGAUUUGCAAAGCCCUCCAAGAGACUUUACCGAAAGACAUCGUGUGCUGGGGGUUAAUGUUUUUCUUCAUUAGUUGUGUUUGUAGCUUCUUGAAAUUAUUGUAUAUGGACUGGCACCCGCCUCAGCCUCCAGUCAUCAGCACAACUGCAUCGGGGGAUGGCCUCCUGGCUUCAUCUAUCAAACAAGCCACUGUCUGCAGACGUUCUGGGAUUUGUUGUAUUUGGGGUUAAACGGGGGAGGAGGGAAAAUUAACGGGUUUCUAUAAAGAAUCACUUCUCUGGUUCUCGUUAAAGCUCUGAGGGUCACAGGAAAUCUCUGGUUUCAAACAACUGUAUGUGGCGUGAUCCUGUUUACUUGAAAUGUCUAGCUGAGACCUAGCUUUGCCACAUUAAUACUAAAUAAGUAAUAUCCACAGAAGCUACUUUUUGGUCCUCUUUGCCAAAAAUCUUGAGGAAGGGGUCCAGCACAGAAGCCUUACAUGCAUGUUUCAUAUAGAAGCCACAGGGUCAGUGGAAACUAGGCUUCCUUAUUUUUUUUUUAAGCUGUUUCAUGACAGAUAAAACUCAGCUGGUAAGCCAAUCCAUACCAAAUGACCCACCAGGGCCACCGUACUUGUUACCACCCAAGAGGUAGUUCCAUGAACUUCAUAUUUAUUCUCUUUCUAUCUAAACUCCCUCUCUGAAAUGGAUCCAAUGGGCGUACUUACCUGAGGUGUAAAUGGUUGGCGUUUGCAGCCGACCUGAUGCAGGAACAACAGCCUCUUGGAGUCUGUGCUCUCUCUG